GACGAACGCUGGCGGCGUGCCUAAUACAUGCAAGUCGAACGCAGUUUCGAAAGGGUGAGUAAAGCGUAGGUAACUGCCUCAUAGCGGGGGAUAAAUAUUGGAAAAGAUAGCUAAUACCGCAUACUGUGAGAUGGACCUGCGUUGUAUUAGCUAGUUGGUGAGGUAAAGGCUAACCAAGGCGACGAUACAUAGCCGACCUGAGAGGGUGAUCGGCCACACUUGGACUGGGACACUGCCCAGACUUCUACGGGAGGCAGCAGGAGGGAAUCUUCGGCAAUGGACGGCAGUCUUACCGAGCAACGCCGCGGUAGUGAAGAAGGUUGUUGGAUCGUAAAGCUCUGUUGUUAGGGAAGCGGUACCUAACCAGAAAGGGACGGCUAACUACGUGCCAGCAGCCGCGGUAAUUC
This 407-nucleotide ribosomal RNA is filed under the name uncultured bacterium. RNAcentral's name for it is "partial 16S ribosomal RNA". It matches the Rfam family "Bacterial small subunit ribosomal RNA", at positions 28 to 526 of the family's 1533-position model. The record is from RNAcentral.